RNAcentral lists this transfer RNA (73 nucleotides) under Chlorobiales bacterium. It matches the Rfam family "tRNA". Rfam says of the family: Transfer RNA (tRNA) molecules are approximately 80 nucleotides in length. Their secondary structure includes four short double-helical elements and three loops (D, anti-codon, and T loops). The record is from Rfam by way of RNAcentral. Lineage: Bacteria; Pseudomonadati; Chlorobiota; Chlorobiia; Chlorobiales.
GAGAAUAUAGCUCAGUUGGUAGAGCAUCUCACUUUUAAUGAGAGGGUCGAUGGUUCGAAUCCAUCUAUUCUCA